This 174-nucleotide unclassified non-coding RNA is filed under the name uncultured Cladophialophora. Its description in RNAcentral is "sequence contains ITS2". Lineage: Eukaryota; Fungi; Ascomycota; Eurotiomycetes; Chaetothyriales; Herpotrichiellaceae. The record is from RNAcentral.
UCACCCCUCAAGCCCCGUGCUUGGUGUUGGACGGCCGGUCGAGCGAUCGACCCCUCCGAAAGACAAUGACGGCGGCCUGUGGUUCCCCCGGUACACUGAGCUUUUCACCGAGCACGUAUCGGACAAGGGCACCCGGGACCCGGUCCUCUCCUUCUCGGUAAGGAAACUUCUCAA